GAGAAGGAGGAGGAGGCAUCUGGCCACCGCCUAAUUUUGGCGGAGGAACAUAGGACUGUAUUUUAAGCAAACACAUUUAACUGUUGGGCAAACAAGAUUAAUUAGUAAGUUCCUGCUUGUUUAAGCUCAUGUUGAUUAGGAAUUUAAGGUUAAUUAAUCUAGUUUGUUUUAAUGGAGCAAGUUUGGUCAUCCUGUAAAAUGCAGGAUAGACCAAAUUUGAUCCAUUAACAAUUUAGAUAACAUUCAUAUGUAAUUUAAUUAAGGAACCCUUUCACACUUUUUGUAAGCA
Molecule: unclassified non-coding RNA, 289 nt
Filed under: Hevea brasiliensis (rubber tree)
Lineage: Eukaryota; Viridiplantae; Streptophyta; Magnoliopsida; Malpighiales; Euphorbiaceae
Source: RNAcentral